Molecule: ribosomal RNA, 425 nt
Filed under: uncultured bacterium
Lineage: Bacteria
Description: partial 16S ribosomal RNA
Rfam family: Bacterial small subunit ribosomal RNA
Source: RNAcentral
GUGGGGAAUAUUGGACAAUGGGGGCAACCCUGAUCCAGCCAUGCCGCGUGAAUGAUGAAGGCCUUCGGGUUGUAAAGUUCUUUUGGAGGGGACGAUGAUGACGGUACCCUCAGAAUAAGCUCCGGCUAACUUCGUGCCAGCAGCCGCGGUAAUACGAAGGGAGCUAGCGUUGUUCGGAAUUACUGGGCGUAAAGGGCGCGUAGGCGGUUUGGUUAGUCAGAUGUGAAAGCCCAGGGCUUAACCCUGGAACUGCGUUUGAUACUGCCAAGCUUGAAUUCGGGAGAGGUGAGUGGAAUUCCCAGUGUAGAGGUGAAAUUCGUAGAUAUUGGGAAGAACACCGGUGGCGAAGGCGGCUCACUGGACCGACAUUGACGCUGAGGCGCGAAAGCGUGGGGAGCAAACAGGAUUAGAAACCCGUGUAGUCC